Molecule: ribosomal RNA, 436 nt
Filed under: uncultured bacterium
Lineage: Bacteria
Description: partial 16S ribosomal RNA
Rfam family: Bacterial small subunit ribosomal RNA
Source: RNAcentral
GAUGAACGCUGGCGGUCUGCUUAACACAUGCAAGUCGAACGGUCUCUUUCGGGCGCUAGUGGCGGACGGGUUAGUAACGCGUGAGAAUCUGCCCUUUGGAGGUGCCUAACGGUUGGAAACGACCGCUAAUACCCCUUGUGCCGAGCGGUUAAAAGUAAUUCGCCAACGGUUGAGCUCGCGUCGGAUUAGCUAGUUGGUGGGGUAAUAGCCCACCAAGGCGACGAUCCGUAGCUGGUCUGAGAGGAUGACCAGCCAAACUGGGACUGAGACACGGGCAAGACUCCUACGGGAAGCAGCAGUGGGGAAUUUGACGAAAGGGGCGCAAGCCUGACGGGGCAAGACAGCGUGAGGGAAGACGGUCUGUGGAGAGUAAACCUCUUUUGACAGAGAAGAAGUACUGACGGUACCUGUCGAAUCAGCCACGGCUAACUACGUG